GGCCAUACGUGCAGCAUAUGGAAGUUCCCAAGCCAGGGGUCAAAUUGGAGCUACGGGGCUGCUGGCCUAUGCCACAGCCAUAGCAACGCGGGAUCCAAGCCACAUCUGCCACCACAGCUCACGGCAACACCGGAUCCUUAACCCACUGAGCUGGGCCAAGGAUCGAACCCUCAUGUUCAUGGAUUCUAGUCGGUUUGUUAACCACUGAGCCACAAAGGGAACUCCUCUUUUUGUUCUUUCCAUGUCUUCACCUGAUUGGAUGAGGCCCACUUGCAUUGAAGAUAUCUGCUGUAUUCUGCUGAUUCAAAUGCUCUCUCUCUCAAAACAGCUUCACAGAAACAUCCGGAAUACAGUGACCUAAUAUCUGGCCACCUUAUGGCCCAGAUAAAUUGAUGCAUAAAAUUAACCAUCAUAGAAAGGAAAAUGGUAAAGGUGCCUGCUGAUUCUCAAACAUUCCUAGAGACCCUAUGAGGAAAGAGCCUGCUCUUUAGUCUCACUGGCUAGAACUCUAUCACAAAGCUCCACUAGCUGUGUGAGUGCUUAGGAAAUUGAGUGUUUUUGUGGACUUACUGCAAUCUCAAAUAAAGCCAGGAAUCUUUUAGCAAGGACAAGAGAGAGAAUAGGUAUUGGGUAGGCAAUUAUCAGGAUCUGACCCUCUAAGAGUCACAAUUUAAGGGGAUUUGAUUAAAAUUUCAACAUUUAGGAAAAGGUCAAAUAGGAUGCAAAUGUAAUGAGGUAGGCAGACUUUAUUUCCAUAUAAAUCUACUUCAUCCUGGGAUAACCAGCAGCUACUAUUCAGGAUGGAGGGUCUUGAAAGGGUAAUUGCAAUGUUGUAAUUAUCAUGUCUGACAAAUAUACGACUUGUGCACCUAAUUAAAUUUUUGCUUGAUUUUCAUCAUACAAUUCAGAAUGGCUUGUACAAUUCACUUUCCUAUAUGCAUACACAUUGCUAACUUAAAAAAAAUACAUAUACACAAUAUAAAUUUAGAAAUAUAUCUUCUGUAUUAAUUAAAUGUUGGCUAUUAAGAAUGACUUCCCAGUAAUCAUAUUGUAUUGUAUUGUUGAUAUAAAAUAUUAUGAAAUAUCUAAUACAGAAUAAUUGUUUUCCUAUUUUAUGUAUUCAUCUCCAGUUACUAAAACUUACUUUUCUUUUACACAAUAAAGGAAUCUAAAAUUUUGAGCCCUUUACUGAAAUGCUACUGUAUAAUAACCAACAUUUAUUUUAUGGAAUUUGUGAAAUGAUGCAAAGAAUUGUGGGAGUGAGGUUUAAAGUAGGCUUGAAAUUUGCUGAAAUUGAAAUUUACUGAAAGGAUAAUACUCAUGUGCUGUCAUAUCAAAGGGAAAUAGUACAGAUUGUCUUUUAAUUGUUUAGCUUAUUUACUGAUAUCAAAUAUAUAAUUAUUUAAAUAUAUGUCUUGAAAAACAUUGACACGUUUAUAUCUUUGCUAUGCACCCAAACACUCAGAGUGCCAAGUAGACUACUGUUUUUUUGUUUUCACUUCUACAUGUUAUCCUAAAUAUCAAUAUUUAUAAAUUUUUCUUUUAAAAACAUUUCAGUUGCAUAACUGAGGUGUAUCAAGGUAUACCUGACAAGAGUGUAGAGGUGCCACUUAUCUAGUGAGUUUCAGAAAGUUAAAUAUAUGAUUUAUAUAUAUUGGCUUCUAUCUAAAUCUAAAGGUUCCAUCUAAAUGUUUAUAAAUACAUAUUUCAAAGUUGAAGUUUUGAAUUACAUAUCUAAAUAUUUUAAUAGUAAUGUUAUAUGCCAUAUAUUACUAAAAUAGUAAAUGUUUUAAUGACAUUUUAGAGAAAAAUAAGUCAUAUAAUGUGAGAAAAUGUUGACCAAUAAUUUUCCUCUAAUGAGACUUUCAGUAAAAUACUAUAAGAAGUAUGUAGUAUAUUUUUUCAUUUUAUUUGACAGGAACCUAAUCAUAAUACCAUUUUUAGAGUUGUAUGUUUAAAGUUUAAAUCAAUUAUUUUAUGAACUUCUAUUAACCUUUAAACUUCUAUUAGAGUUAAGUUUGUUUGAAUAAUUAUUGAAAGCAUAAUACAAAGAGCAAAUGCUACUUACUGCCCCUCUAUUGUUUUGAAAUGGCUCUAUUGUAAAAUUUUCUAAUUCAGAAUGAUUAGAGAAGUGAAAUGUAAAGUGAUUUUAAAAAUAAGGGUAUAUUGCAGAAUUCCCCUUUGCUGAGUAUAUCUAGUCUCUGACUCCUCUCCAAGUUCAUUUCUUCCACUCUCUCCCUUAGCCUAGACUCUCCAGAUUCAUUGACCACCUUUCCUUCUUCAAGGGUACCAAGCUCUUCCCAUCCUCAGAGCUUCUGUGAUGGCUGUUCUUUCUUAUUAAACUUACCUUUCCACUCCUUGGCAGGAUGGUCUCUGACUCAUUUUUCAGAUAAAAUUCUACAUCCUGCCCCUAAUCAGGACCUUCCAUGAAUUUAUCUAUUGUUGAACAUUCCCACUCAAUCAUUCUCUUUAAUAUCACACAUGGUAGGAUGUAUCAAAAGUAUAAUUUUCCAGUGUUAUUAUUUUUCAUUAUCUAUUCCCCCCUCUCCCACACUUACAGGCUAUAGACACUGUGUCCAGAAUCAUAUUUCCCUCUUUGGAGCUGUUAAUCUCAGAGCUCAAAUACAAAGGUGCCUGGCAGAGUAGAUACUCAAAUGUUUGCAGAUUAACCAAGUAAAGUCUAAAUGCAAACAGAUCUAUGAUAGGUAAGACACAUUUGCCAUUAACAACAAAUAUUGUCUCAUGAAAAUAGAGCCUUGAAAGUGUAACUAUCCCGGUGGCAAGGCCACUAUUUUGCAAUUUUGUAGAGAAAUAUAGUUUAUACUUUAAGCCAUUCCUUUAGAUGCAGUAUUAAAAUUCAUCCGGUAUAGGUAAAACAAUAAUAAAAUCUGAGCUAGAAAUCUGAAUGAUUAGUAUUCAGGUCUCCUGAAUUUUGAAUAAAAAUGAAUAUGGAGAUUCUAGACUUAGAAGUAAGAUGUGUAAUUCAGAAAUAAGUACCUAGUUUUUUCACCUCCUCAUUUGCAAAGAGCAUAUGAAUAUAAAACAUUCUGGGGAGCAGUGCCUUCCACUGAUUGGUAUAAUUUUCUGACAGAUGGAAGAAAAGAACGGUGCUUCUGUUAACAUUUCGAAAUACCACAAACAUAUAUACUCAGAUAAAAUUUUAUUCAAAUAACAGCAGGAAAGGGUUUCACUGUAUUUUAUUAAGCACAUUACAUUUUAAUGCAUUCCAACUCUAAAAGAAGGCAAUACAAAGAGUAGAAAUCACACUUAUCUACUCUUCACAAGGCCAGGCCCCCAUCCAGUCUCUGGCUCACCACUGUCAAGAGUAAAGUGCGCCUAAUGCCAAACUCCCUUACUGCUUUUACACCCAUAUAUGCAUAUAUAUGUACAUCAUUUUUAUACCAUCUUUUAUGAAUGGGAUUAAAUAUACUGUCAUUUUUUCUUUUAGCAAUUAGAGAUUUUUCAUAUAUACAUAUCAACCAAUAUAUUUUCUUAUUAACCUUAUAAGCUCUUUGUAUUUAAAAUGUGAUAUACUAUAAUUUACUUAGGCUUUCUUCAAUGAAAAAUGUUGUUUUUAACACUAUUAGCUAGCGUAAUGCUUUAAACAACACCUUUGAAUGAAUAAACAAAUUUGGUCUAUGUAUACAAUGGAAUAUUAUUCAGCCUUAAAAAGGAAGAGAAUUCUGACACAUGCUACAAUGUGAAGGACCUUGAGGACAUCAUGCGGAGUGAAAUAAACCGGUCACAAAAAAGACAAAUACUCUAUUAUUUCAAUUUAUGAGAUAACCUAGUGUAGUCAAAUUCAUAGAAGCAGAAAGCAGAAUGGUGGUUGGCAGCGACUGGAGAGAGGGGAAAAUGGGGAGUUGCUGGUUAAAGGAUAAAGAGUUUCAGUUUUGCAAGAUGAAAAGAAUUCUGGAGUUUGCUUGCACAGCAACGUGAAUGUACUCACCACUAGUGAAUGCUGUGCUUAAAAAUUGUGGAGAUGGUAAAUUUUAUGUUGUGUAUUUUAUCACAAUUAAAAAUUUAAAAAAAUAAUGGAAAUGAGCGUUCCCAUUAUGGCUUAGCUAGUAAAGAACCUGACUUAGCCUCCAUGAGGAUGAGGGUUCUAUCCCUGGCCUUGCUCAGUGGAUUAAGGAUCCAGUAUUGACACAAGCUGCAGUGUAGGCUGAAGAUGUGGCUUGGAUCCAGUGUUGCCACGGCUGUGGUGUAGGCUUUGGUUGAAGCUCUUAUUUGACCCCUAACCUGGGAACUUCUAUAUGCUGCAGGUGUGGCCCUAAAAAGAAAAAAAAUAAUGGAAAUGAAAUGAUUAAAUAUUUAGAGAAUAAUAAAAUUUUCUACACUUUCUAAAUUUUGACAGAUUUGAAUCAGCAUAUUUAUUUUGACCAUUAUUUUGAAUGAAAUAAAAUAAGAAUUGGAGCCCACCGUGCACUGCUUUUUAAUCUAAUUUCAUCCUUAAUCUCUGAAGAAGAUAAGGCAUAUAUUUGGCAUUUACAACUUGAGUGGAAAUUUGCACAUUUAGUUUAUAAAUAUGAAUUCAUAAAUAUAAUGCUAUUUUUUCAUGUUUUAAAACAUACACAAAUGUUAUUAUGCUGUAAAUAAAUAUAUGUGGCUUGAUUAGCUAAUUAGUUUUUCUCUGCUGUAAAUUGUUUAUUUUAUAUUUUAUCUGUUUGUGCUAUUAGAGUUUGUAUCUGUUUCUUAUUGUGUUUGGGAAUUCUUAACAUAGUUUCUAUAUUAAAGCUUCUCGAUUUUCUAUAUUGUAAUAUUCUCCUAGUUUUUGUCUUUUUAUUUCUAUGGUGUCUUUGAUGUUAAGGCUUUGAGCUAUAAUGUAGUUAAAAUAAACACAGUCUUCUUUUAUAGUUUGUGGUUCUUGAAGCUGCCUCAGGGAAUGUUUACAUGCCCUUAAGUCAUUAAAUUUUCUCUUGUAUAAUCUUUAAACACUCUGAAUGUUUUGUUUUUCACAUUUAGGCCAUAUUUUGCUUGGCUGAACUCCAAGCAUAUGGAGGUUCCCAGGCUAGGGGUCUAAACGGAGCUACAGCUGCUGGCCUACACCACAGCCACAGCAACAAGGGAUCUGAGACGCAUCUGCGACCUACAUUACAGCUCAUGGAAAAGCUGAAUCCUUAACGUACUGAGCGAGGCCAGGGAUCAAACCCACAUCCUCAUGGA
RNAcentral lists this long non-coding RNA (5166 nucleotides) under Sus scrofa (pig). RNAcentral describes it as "lncRNA (ENSSSCG00065053170.1)". The record is from RNAcentral. Lineage: Eukaryota; Metazoa; Chordata; Mammalia; Artiodactyla; Suidae.